UCGAUGAUGAAAAUGUAAUUGAUAUCUUGUAUCGAUACAAUUCUUAUAUAUCGUAUUAAAAUUUGUAAGGCAAAUGUUAAAUAAGGUCAGCAUCAUACGAUUUAAGAAGCAAUGACGUAUUUUCCCGUUAAAUGUGUAACUAUAGAAAAACACCUUGCUAUUCUUAUUCUUUCAAUUAUUUAUUCUUUUUGUUUGUAACGAUCAUGUAUAAUCUCUGACGAGAACACGGACGCACGCACCGACGCACGCACGCACUUACGAUAGGAGGAUGUGUUCUCCAUAUUAUGCGAAUAUCGUCAUCAAGAGCGUUGGUGUCUGGGUUGCUCUCGAUAUCUGCCUUCGGCGGGACGAAAAGAAACAACAAGGAGAGUGAAGAAGGUUAGCGGAUGUUAUCGUACAAACGGAUUAAUGAGGAUUAAGUUACUUGGUUCUGGUUUUGAUUGGACGAAGAAAUAAAAAAUGUUUUUGAGAUUCAUGGAAAGUUACUUCUUGAAAAAAGAUUACGGAAAAAAGAAGAAGGGAAAAAGAAACGAAAAAAAAAAAAAGAAAAAAGAAAGAAAGAAAUGAAGAUGAGAGAGAUCAACACCGAGGAUAUUUCAGAGUAAGAGAAAGAGAGAGAGAGAGAGAGAAAGAGAGAGAGAGAGAGUCCGUCUGACGUCAUUUGACGUAACAGUAAUAGUAGAUCGACGUAUCCUUCGUUGAGAUCGCUAUACGUCUUCACUAACACGCAUACAGGUGUUCUCGCAAUCUAAACGGUGACAGACGUUUCUGUACUCGUACAUAUAUCAAUUACAAUAUCAAAUUCCUUUAUGGACAGAACGUCUCGCUGAAUUAGUAUUUGUUAAAAGAAGGAAAGAGAAAAAAAAAAAAGAAAAAAAAAGAAGAAGAAAAAGAAAAGAAAAAAAUCGACGAUGAUAAUGACAAUGAUAAUUUAUUCUUUCGGAUAUCAUCGUCGUCAUGAAAAAGUUAAUAUAUAAUACGGACGCAAUUAGAUAACAUUAUAUUACAGAAUAAUCAGAAUAUAGAAAAUAUUAUUUAAUUACUGAUAAAAUUUAUAAUCCUCGGAUUCGAGUAAUUUCGUUGUAAUCGCGUAAAGAAAAAAAAAAAAAAACAAAAAAAAAAAAAAGAAAAAAAGAAAAAAAGGAAAAGAGAAAAACAUCUAAAUGAAGAUAUAAUGAUAAGACAAAGUAGAUAGGAAUGAUCUGUACCAAUAGUUGUGUGGAUGAAGGAAGGGGAUAAAAAUAAAACAAAACUAAAAAAAAAAGAAAAAAAAAAAAAGAAAAAAAAAACGCAAGACGAAACGAAAGGAGAAACAGAUAAAGAGAAAUACACAUCCCUCUCUUAUCUCCCACUCCCGUUCUUCCGUUGGAAAAGACACUGAAACGAAAAAAAAAUAAAAAAAGGAAAAAAGAAAAGAGACAAAAAGAAAAGGAAAAAGAUGAUCGCAAGAAAAAUAUCAAUCGUCGAUUUAAGAUGCUAAUUCGAGAAGCAAAAGUCAACGAACGAGAUCCCCGAGAUGGAGGUGGAUGCCAAGAACGAUGGCAGUUAGUAGUAGUAAACUCGUCUCAUCGUUGCUGGCAUAACAGGUUUCGGUGAAAUUCGAGAGAAUGCGUUCGCGUUCGCGAGGGAACUCUCCUCUCUCGAGUUGAGUCCCCGGCAAACACGCGCACUCUCGACGAAGGAAAUCCACCCGUGGACGACCUGGAAGCGAAUUACGUCAGACGACCUGGGGUCCAACGAACCCAGAUUCCGUACAUUUACUGCUGCUCUUUCCGGCAGAUCCAUGCGAGAGAAGAAGAAAGUAAUGGCCAGGUAAAGUUCAAGGGCCUGGAAAGUCCGGUUUGUUGUUCCAAAUUCCAACUGGACCUACUACUACUACUCGAGGAAUUAAAGAUGUAAUCUUUUAGGGUAAGGUACGAUUUAUUUACGUUGA
Vespa velutina is the source of this 1933-nucleotide long non-coding RNA. RefSeq lists it as uncharacterized. The record is from RefSeq and is a predicted model, not a curated record. NCBI's taxonomy places the organism in Eukaryota, Metazoa, Arthropoda, Insecta, Hymenoptera, Vespidae. The transcript is spliced from 3 exons.